Molecule: transfer RNA, 82 nt
Filed under: Chlorotetraedron incus
Lineage: Eukaryota; Viridiplantae; Chlorophyta; Chlorophyceae; Sphaeropleales; Neochloridaceae
Description: tRNA-Leu
Rfam family: tRNA
About the family: Transfer RNA (tRNA) molecules are approximately 80 nucleotides in length. Their secondary structure includes four short double-helical elements and three loops (D, anti-codon, and T loops). Further hydrogen bonds mediate the characteristic L-shaped molecular structure. tRNAs have two regions of fundamental functional importance: the anti-codon, which is responsible for specific mRNA codon recognition, and the 3' end, to which the tRNAs corresponding amino acid is attached (by aminoacyl-tRNA synthetases). tRNAs cope with the degeneracy of the genetic code in two manners: having more than one tRNA (with a specific anti-codon) for a particular amino acid; and 'wobble' base-pairing, i.e. permitting non-standard base-pairing at the 3rd anti-codon position.
Source: RNAcentral
ACGAUUGUGGCGGAAUGGUAGACGCGAGAGCUUCAAAAGCUCUUAACCUAAUGGUUGUGCGGGUUCAAAUCCCGCCAAUCGU